AAGAAAGUAUGUAAGAGCUGCUAACUCAUACCACCGUACUUAAACGUACGGCUUUCUUA
This 59-nucleotide transfer RNA is filed under the name Lagurus lagurus. Its description in RNAcentral is "tRNA-Ser". The record is from RNAcentral. Lineage: Eukaryota; Metazoa; Chordata; Mammalia; Rodentia; Cricetidae.